RNAcentral lists this ribosomal RNA (377 nucleotides) under uncultured eukaryote. RNAcentral describes it as "partial 18S ribosomal RNA". It matches the Rfam family "Eukaryotic small subunit ribosomal RNA", at positions 592 to 976 of the family's 1831-position model. The record is from RNAcentral.
CAAUAGCGUAUAUUUAAGUUGCUGCAGUUAAAAAGCUCGUAGUUGGAUUUCGGGUGGGAAUGGCCGGUCCGCCGUUUCGGUGUGCACUUGCUACGCCCACCUUGCUGCCGGGGACGUGCUCUUGAGUUCACGCUCGGGACACGGAGUCGGCGAGGUUACUUUGAGUAAAUUAGAGUGUUCAAAGCAGGCCUACGCUCCGAAUACAUUAGCAUGGAAUAACACGAUAGGACUCUGGCCUAUCUUGUUGGUCUGUAGGACCGGAGUAAUGACUAAGAGGGACAGUCGGGGGCAUUCGUAUUUCAUUGUCAGAGGUGAAAUUCUUGGAUUUAUGAAAGACGAACUACUGCGAAAGCAUUUGCCAAGGAUGUUUUCAUUAA